Molecule: ribosomal RNA, 333 nt
Filed under: uncultured bacterium
Lineage: Bacteria
Description: bacterial SSU rRNA
Rfam family: Bacterial small subunit ribosomal RNA
Source: RNAcentral
CGUGUAGGCGGUCUGAUUAGUCUGAUGUGAAAGCCCUGGGCUCAACCCAGGAAGUGCAUUAGGAUACUGUCAGACUUGAAUACGGGAGAGGGUAGUGGAAUUCCUAGUGUAGGAGUGAAAUCCGUAGAUAUUAGGAGGAACACCGGUGGCGAAGGCGGCUACCUGGACCGAUAUUGACGCUGAGACGCGAAAGCGUGGGUAGCAAACAGGAUUAGAUACCCUGGUAGUCCACGCCGUAAACGAUGAGUACUAGGUGUUGCGGGUAUUGACCCCUGCAGUGCCGCAGCUAACGCAUUAAGUACUCCGCCUGGGAAGUACGGUCGCAAGACUAAA